RNAcentral lists this ribosomal RNA (465 nucleotides) under uncultured Streptococcus sp. RNAcentral describes it as "bacterial SSU rRNA". It matches the Rfam family "Bacterial small subunit ribosomal RNA", at positions 916 to 1381 of the family's 1533-position model. The record is from RNAcentral. Lineage: Bacteria; Bacillati; Bacillota; Bacilli; Lactobacillales; Streptococcaceae.
ACGGGGCCCGCACAAGCGGUGGAGCAUGUGGUUUAAUCGAAGCAACGCGAAGUAACCUUACCAGGUCUUGACAUCCCGAUGCUAUUUCUAGAGAUAGAAGUUACUUCGGUACAUCGGUGACAGGUGGUGCAUGGUUGUCGUCAGCUCGUGUCGUGAGAUGUUGGGUUAAGUCCCGCAACGAGCGCAACCCCUAUUGUUAGUUGCCAUCAUUCAGUUGGGCACUCUAGCGAGACUGCCGGUAAUAAACCGGAGGAAGUGGGGAUGACGUCAAAUCAUCAUGCCCCUUAUGACCUGGGCUACACACGUGCUACAAUGGUUGGUACAACGAGUUGCGAGUCGGUGACGGCGAGCUAAUCUCUUAAAGCCAAUCUCAGUUCGGAUUGUAGGCUGCAACUCGCCUACAUGAAGUCGGAAUCGCUAGUAAUCGCGGAUCAGCACGCCGCGGUGAAUACGUUCCCGGGCCUU